RNAcentral lists this ribosomal RNA (205 nucleotides) under uncultured bacterium. RNAcentral's name for it is "partial 16S ribosomal RNA". It matches the Rfam family "Bacterial small subunit ribosomal RNA", at positions 568 to 774 of the family's 1533-position model. The record is from RNAcentral.
CGCGUAGGCGGGUGAUCAAGUCUGUGGUGAAAUCCUCUCGUUCAACGAGAGAACUGCCCUGGAUACUGAUCAUCUUGAGGAAGAUAGGGUGUGUGGAACGGGUGGUGGAGCGGUGAAAUGCGUUGAUAUCAUCCGGAACUCCGGUGGCGAAGGCGACACACUAGGUCUUUUCUGACGCUGAGGCGCGAAAGCUAGGGAGCAAACG